This 20647-nucleotide long non-coding RNA is filed under the name Malus domestica (apple). RNAcentral's name for it is "long non-coding RNA (MDOM_LNC009907)". Lineage: Eukaryota; Viridiplantae; Streptophyta; Magnoliopsida; Rosales; Rosaceae. The record is from RNAcentral.
UGCUGUCUGCAGUCUAACACUGAAAUGGUAACCGGUCUUAAUAUGCACUGCACAAUCUAUAAAAGCAUAUUACACGAAACAAAGAAGGUUAUGGACCGCGAGGUGUGCUGAAACAGAAACAGCCGGUAGACUGGUCUUCGGGUAUCAUGCCGCCUCCCUUGCUAGUAUCUAUUGCAUACAACAUUUUCACUACCUCUUCCAUUUCAGGAAGAUUAUCCGGGUUUGCAUCCCAACAUUUUCGCAUGACGCUAGCCAAUGUGCUUGGACAACAUCUUGGAAUUUCUGGUCGUAAAUUCUGCCAUCCAAGCAUAAAAUAUUAGGACUACCAAUUGGUGAUCAACAUUGCUUAAAAGCCAAAGACAGACAAGUUUUGCUACAUCAGUUCCACUACUUCAAAACAAAUAUGCAGUAAAAUCUGAUAAAGAAAUUAAAGCAGUAUGUGCAACAACAAACCAACCUGUCGCACUACUGCAGAUGAGACAUCAGCAAAACUUAGAUUAGGAUAAGGCAUGUCGCAGCAAUAGAUUUCCCACAAGCAAAAACCAAAACUAUAGACAUCGCAUUUCCUGUCGUAUGGCUUGCCAUCAAGGAACUACAAAAACCUUGAUGUUAGAAUUCUAAUCCAAUUUGCAGCAAGGGGAAUCUAUUAUGUUUUUUAUUUAAUUAUUUAUUGGUUUAAAUUAUAUUUUCCUUAACGGGUAACGGGUCGGGUCAUAUUACCCGUUAAUAUUAUCGGGUCGAUUUUGGAUCGGGUCAUUUUACCCGUUUAUUUUAACGGGUGUUACACGACACGACCCGUUAAGAUAUCGGGUAUGACACGAAAACGACACGAACACGGAAAACACGACACAAAUGCCAAGUCUAGUUGGGAGUUCAUUAUUCAAUCAAAUAACACCGCCUUCUUACAUUCAAUCAAAAAAAUUUAUGUAGUUGUAAAUUUGUAUCUAUACUUAGGCAAACAAUCACAUGUAUUCUUUUGUGCAAUGAAGUAAACCCCUAAGUCUAAUAACAAUGAAAGUUUGAAAUCGGAGUUCAGCAUGCUAAAACCAUUCCCAAUAUAUGGAUUCAUUAACCAUCUAAUACACAGUCACUAUAGCAAAUUCUGCAAUACAACAAUCCCAAACGAGCCCUUGAUACUAUACUAAACAAUUAUAGAUGAUGGCUUACCGUCUAGGCGUCCACCAACUCAACAAACUGUAAAAUUUCUCAAUUCCGUUCCAUUUCUGGUGAAACCCAUUGACCACUAAACUAUGUUUUAAAGUCUCAAACAUGGAAAACUUAGGCAUGCAAACAAAUCCUGCACAUCACGAAAACUGCAACAACGAAAAAGAAUUAAAAACGAAUUGAAGCCUUCAGAGAAAUCAAAGUACCUGCAACAUCUUGGCUAUCGUAUGCACCGCGAUACACGGUGCCAUAGGUUCCAUGAGCAAUAACAUGUCUUAUAUCCAACUUUGCCAAAUCAAUCUCCCACUCUUCCACCUUUGCAUUCGCCUCCCUCUCCCUCUCCCAACCCCUACUCAAGUGCUUCUCCAACUGGAUAUCCCGCCAAAUCUCAAAUUGUCACUCCUUCACAAAAUAAAAAUAUUUCUUAAACCCCCGAAAACUUGAUUGAAACUUUGACAACGGAACUGAAAAAAUAUUAACGGCCCCCGAGAAUCUUGGAGCUGAAGAAUCACACCAAAUCGAGAAAAAAAAUGGGAUAGGAAAAAAGGAAGAAAAAAAUAUAGAAAAAUAGAGUUUUGGGUAUUAAACUCGAGUGAGAGAGCCAUUAGAAAGAGUGAAUAGAAUCGUGAAAAGAAAAGGUCAAACAAAGAAAAUAAUACAUAGGAAAAUUUACGCGUGGGUUAGAGCAGUAAAUUUAUGGGUCAGCAGCAAGUUAAUCAUUAAAUUCGUUCUCCCCUAAAUUCAACCAAAAUGAAAACAAAAACAAUAUUUGGAACAGGGGUCAAGAACUCAAAAUCCCUAAUUCUUGAAUACCUUAAAACUGAGGAUUCGGAACACAGAUAGUGGUCAGGAGUGCUCGAGUUGAGAAAAUAUGAUGGUGGUGGUUGGACGGACGAACGGAGCUCUGCGCUGCGAAUUUGGGUCUGAGAGUCCAGAGUCCAAGUCGAGUCGAGAGACAGAUAAUCGAGGUGAGAGAGACAGACCGAGAGUGGGAGUUGUGAGAGAAGUGGGAAGUCAACGGUGCAGGUCCAAGUCUCGUUUGCCCACCCGAUACGGUAUUACAAUUGUUUUGGCCAGACAAACCUCCACUUAAUAUGGAGUUGGUGGGAGAUGAUGGGAAACUUUUGCUCAUUUGGCUCAUUUAACCAGAAUUUAAUCAGAUUUGGUCUUCGAAUUUUUCUGAAUUGCUAAAGGAUUUAUUUUCUUCGGAAAUUUCAGAAACUCAGGUUUUGGAAGGAAGAAGCUGGUUCCUUACCAUUUUUAGGUAUAUAAUUAUGUGCCCUGAUUGCAUGUUCACAACCUAUUUAGUUAUAUGAAAUUUUUAUUUAUUUUUCUAAAGCUUUCAUGUUUGGAUUUUAAAUAUGCAAUUGGUAUAAAUGCAAAAUAUAAUCAUGGGGCAUUCUUAUUUUUGGAUUUUCUCUUCUGCAUUUUCUCUUGCAUUUUCUCUUCUAUCCUUUGUAUGUUUGCAGUUAGAUCAAUGGGUUCAAACCUUUGAACUAAAAUUUGUUUGACAGCCUUGCAAGUGUUUCGCUUUUGGGUGCUCUUUAAUGUGUGCACUUUCUUUUGUUUAUCUAGAUUAGUGUUUUUCCAGCACUUUUAAUCGUUGCAGUUCACAAAGUUCUUAUUGAUCUUGAAUUGUUAUUUUUAAUUUAUCUUUGUUGGGUAGACGACAUGUACUGUGGGUUUCGGUGAUUAGGGAAUAUUUUGAGCUUCAUUACUAUUUUAAUGUUUAGGUAAAACUAGAAACUUCAACCCGUGCUCUGCUGCGGGAUUGAAAAUUGUAUGAAAGAUUAUGUUUGAAAGAUAAGAGAACAAUUCAUCAAUUGUGCAAUAGAAAACAUAGCAUUAGAACACAUCCAACAGAGGAAAAAAAAUUACAACAAACCUUCAUUAACUGUCGAUGGAAUACUAACAACAAAAAAUUUCUUUGUUUUGAAAUCAUUGCCAAAGAUUUUCAAACUCACGAUCAUUAAGCACGGGAUCAUCUGGAAAAGGAAGGAGCAGUCAUCAUUCCUUCUGAGUCUCAUAAGUUGUGCCCACUGCAAUAGGUGUCCCUAAAGCAGCACAUAAUUAUGUAAGCAAAAAAAAAAAAAUUCAUAAAAGACCAUUGAAAUCAAUUUUCGAAAUACAAACAAUUAAGAAGAUUAAACCUGAAUCAAAUGACACUAUUCGAUAAAAAUAAACUCAAUAUUUACUAAAUGAAUGUAUAACUUGUAUUGUAUAAUAUGCCUACUUCAUAUAAUUGCUAAUAAAAGGAACAAGUCCUUAUCCAUAUGGAUAUUAUAAAGAAAAUCAAUUCCAUAGUAUGUCCAUUGCUAAUAAAAUAAAUGUCCAAAGUCAUUAUGUGGGUACUAACGAUACUAAUACGACAAAUGUCUAGUUGUUAAUAUUGUUUGAUAUAAGCCUACUAAGUAAAAACAUUUAAAUAACACAAAGAGGCAAACUUUUCACAUUCUCACCAAGGUUCUAAAAAAUGCUAGGCGCUAGUCGGGCGGCGGGCUAGCGCCUAGCACCUAGGCGGAUUUAGUUAAUUUCUUGUAAAUAAGUGUAUAUUGACACUUACAAAAAAUUAUACUUGUAUGAAAUCUAAGAAUAAGAUAAUACAAGAACAAUAAAAUGAAAAAAGAGUAUCCAACAAGUCCAAAAUUUUAAAAACAUAUUAAGCAUAUAUGCCAUAUAACCAUAGUGAGGAGUAUUGUAGGAUGACACAUGUACAACAAGUUCACAAUUUAAAACCACAUAAAAUGCAAAAUAGGAGGAAAAUAAGGAAAUAUAGUAAUUGUCUUUAACAUCCAAGAAUUUAAGUUGAUACACACCUAUUCUAUAAAAUUAACAAAAUUUCAAGGUAUAAACAUAGGUGCAUGUAGGGAACAGGAACUUAGAAAGUUAGAAUAAAGAUAUGAUUUUUUUUUUUCAAUUUCAAAAUAAAAAAGAAAAAAAAAGAAAAAAAAAGCCUAGCUCUGCCUAGAGCCCAUCCGCUUUUUCCCACCGUUUUGCAAUAAAACGCCUCGGCCACCCUCCGCCUAGCGCCUAGGCGGCCGUCUAGGCCGUUUUUUAGAACACUGAUUCUCACACACCCAACAAAAGCCUGAUUUAACGGAAGAAAAAUCUCACAAGGAUAGAAAAAACAAGUGCAGCUUUCCAAUUCAAGAUUAUUAUACAUAUUUAUAUUUAUUUAUUAUUUACACUAAAACAGGGUGUACUGUUGACCAUUCUCUUUUUCAUCACUUUGUAAUGAUAACAACCACCACUAUUACAUCUCACAAUACAUAAAGAUUUGAUUGUUUAUUUAAAGUAUUUGUUGGCUUUUAAAAAUAAGAGAACUAAUGAAAAGGGUUUGAAAAGUUUUAGUUUUAAUAAAAAACCAUGUUAUAAGUUUUGUUUAAUGAUUAGUACAAGACCCAUAUUAAAGUAGUCCAACGAAAAAUAGUCCAACUAUAAUAAAUUAUGAUUUGUCGAUUUUAUCCCUAACUUUUUUAAGUUGAUUCCAGAUUUUCGUCGUUAAUGGAGUUCAUCGUUGUUUUGCAAACCUUCUUCUUUUUCUUUGAAACAAAAAUAUAGAUCAUCAUGUUAUUUAAUUUAUAUUUUGUAUUAUUUCGUUGAAAUGUGAUUGUCGUUAUUAUUCAUAGUGUAUUCGAGGUAUCGUUUUUCAAUUUUUCAUCGCCAGUGGAGUUCAUCGUUUGUUUCUCUAGAAAAUAAAUUUGAAAUCUGCAUGCUAUUCAAUAAUAAUGACGGGUCACUGUUUCUGGAUUUUAAGUAACACUGUUUCUGGAAUCUAAGUUACUGUUUAUGGAAUCUAAAUCAUUGUUUAUGGAAUCUAAAUCAUUGUUUCUUAAAUGUAAGCUAGAAAAGAAAUAGAGAAAUUCACUAUAUUUGGAUUCAAAGCAAAAUAAACACCAUAUUUCUUAAAUAUAAUCAAUUGAUGCAUGAAAGAAAAGAAACAGUCAAAGAUUAAAACAUAGACUAUUUCUGAAAUUAAAUCACUGUUUUUGAAAUCUAAGUCAUUAUUUCUGGAAUUUAAGUCACUGUUUCUGGAAUCAAAUCAUUGUUUCUGGAAUCUAAGUCACUGUUUCUAAAAUUUAAGUCACUAUUUCUAGAAUUUAAGUCACUGUUUCUGGAUUUUGGUUCUUUUCUUUCCAGAUAUAGUGUUUGUGCACAAACAAAACAAACACUAUAUCUGAGUUUUUUUUUUUGUUCAAAAACAGUGUUAUGUUUUUUAUUCUCCAGAAACAGUUUUAUGUUUUGGUUUUUUUUUUUCCAAGACAUUUUUUCGCCGGUUUUUGCUAUUAAACUUCUUUGAACUUGUUUCAACUGCUUUGUUCCAAUGAAUGCUUCAUUUUUUCAACUUUGAUUUGAACUUUGAUUUGGUUGUUUUUGAAAUGAGGGAAUUACUGGGCAAUUGGCAGUUAGAUGAUGAAGAUGAUCCCCUGCAGCGGGGACAUGAUUCUGCUGCAAAUGACAAUGGCCAAUCAUUAAGAAAGAAGAAGAAAGCUUCAUUUAAAGAGAAGUCAAGUAAGAAAGGAAAAGAAAAUGGGGAGGUGGGGAAGAAGAUCAUAUAUGAAGAAAAUGGCUCAAGGAGAGAGAAGAGCAGGCAUGAGGAAAGUGGCUCAAGGAAAGACGAAGGGAAAAAGAAGAUGAGGCGGAGACAUUCCCAAGAUAGUGCCAAUAAGUAGGGUGUUUUGUCUACAUGGAGAAAAAGUAGAUGAUAAAAAAAAAGACCAAAUAAUUUCUUUAUUAGCCAACUUGUCUAGUCUCCCACCCAUCCCCAGAUGAAUGAACACGUGUAUAUUCUACCUUUCCUUUCCUAGAUGACCCACACGUGUACAUCUAGAUUAUUCCCUUCUCAGAGAGACAAAAACCAAGCAGAAGACUAAAGAGCGAAAAGACCAAAGAAACAAAAAAGGGGUAAAAACGGAAUCACAUUGUACAAUCAACAGUAACUAAAGAAAUAACAGUUGUACAAUCAAUGUAAUUUCAUCAAAUUCUAAUCCAUACGAUCACUUGUGUACCUAAAAACUGAUGACUCUUGACAACAGCACAUAACAAAUACUUGGAAAAACGAAGUUAUGUGCUUAAAGGCUUCGUUUUAAAAGAUGGAGAAGGGUAGAGGAGCUUUACCCAAGGAAUUUUCGUGCCUCCGCUCAACCUUUUUACACACCCUAAAAAAUACUUGAAAUUCGAUCCCCUACUACAACACACGCAAAAAAAAUAGCAAACUAAUAAACUUAAUUAUAUAUGAUCAUUUCACCACAUAAUUCAAAUUAAUUGGUGAAAAAAUUAAUUAAUUAAACUGAGUUAAAAAUUAAAUAUAAAUACCAAUAAUAAUUGUGAUUGUCCAUUUUUUGCUCCCUGGACUUUCCACUUGGAGUUAAAGAUAGCACGAAACCACAAAAAAAAAAAAAACUUCAAUUUCUGAGACCAGAGCACAAAACCAAGCAAACACCGCCAGCUGCAACAGAAACAACACGGUAAAAUAGAGUUUUAGAGAGAAAAAACAAAGGACUUUAAUUUUAGGAAGACUUUGGAUGCGGUCCUUAGCUAUGAAUAUUCUUUGUGACACACCCCGACCGAGAUCAAGGUAUGCUGGUCGUCACAUGAGAGUGACGUAGAUAUGUGCACAGUGCGGAAGCAAUUAAGGUAAGAAAUAUUCGAGUAAAUAAAAACCAAAGUUACUAAAGUGCACUAAUAAACUAGAGGUGUUAGAAGUGAGAUACAAAAGUAAAUACUCCUAAGCAGAGCAUAUAAAGUUUAGGUGCAGUCCAGUAGGACAAGUACUAAUUAUACAGUACCAUAAGAUGUCCUACAAUUAUUUUAAUAUGCUAGAAUUGCCAAAGUCAUCAAAGCCACCAACAGCAAGCUUACCUAAAACCUGGAGGGACGCAAAACAAAAAAUGUGAGUGGGCAAAAACAAAUGUUUUACAAAACCAUUUCAUUUCUCAAUAUUUCUAAUCCCUUGCCAUAAAACAUGUAUAAUUUUCCCAGAAUUAGAAUAUAAGCAUAUGCAUAUAUAUAUAUCAAUUCAAAUCAUGCCUCAUAUAAUCAUAUUCAUAAGUAUGCCAUGCCAAAACGUAAAAUGAAAUAAGUAAUUCAGGUGAGAAUAAUUUCAUGGAAGGUAUCAUAUUAGCCGGAACCCUUGCAUAAGUCUGUACGGCUGAAUUCAUAGCUCAUUAGUCAAUCUAGCCGGAGUCACUACUAUGACAUAUACGGCACUACACCGCACAUAAGUCGGAACCACUAAAAAGGGAUCUGUACGACAAGAUUAAGUGUAAUAUAAUUAUGCUCAAUUAUACUCUCUCAUGCUAGCUGGACGAUAAUUCGCUAGUCACCUACGAGUCGGAACGAUAGUAAAGGUCUGUACGACAAGAAUGUGCACCUAAAUUGGAUCCAAUGUGAGCAUAUGGUGUGGGAGGUGACAUAAUAAUAACAGGCAUGUGCCAUAUCUCUGGCUAAUCAUUAACACCCUAGGUGCAGGUUUAUGAGCUUAAUACUUCUCAAAUAAUCACAACCGUUAUUCACAUUCAUAAUUCAUAACUCACCUGGGCUUACCUGAGCGUCCACAUCACCACAAUUAUAUAUAUGCAUCAUGUACUAAUUCAUAUACCAAAUAUAAAUUUAUAUGCAUGGCAUUCAAGGCAUACUUCAUUUAAACGUAUUUUUCUAGGAAAUUAUCAAGUAUAUAAGUAUAUAUUGAAAACCAAAAGCCCACUCACUGGUAUGUCGAAGGAUCGUAGCCCUCGAGUCGCCCUUGAACGCGGUCGUCAUCGGGAUAAGUCUCGCCUGUAUGCGAAUUAACUAUAAAAACGUUAUUUAAAGUACAUAGACAAAACUAACUAAUAACUUCUCAUACAAUGCUCAAAUGAGAUGUUUGAAUAUACCAAUGUGAUCUACAUAACUCCACGAACAUCCCCAUAUUUUUAGAAAAAAUUUCCGACCACCCACUCGAGAGCACGUGCCUGGCACACUAACGGUGGCAGUAACGGCGUUAGAGAAUAUUCCGUCUAAAACUAACAGCGUCACCUUACGCCGUUAGCAUAUUCUGUCAAAACUGACGGAAUAUACCCCUUCUUCCCCGACGAGUCACCAGACGUCGGCGAUUGUUCGCCGGUUUCUGGAAAAACUUCUAACCCUUAUUUCUCCUUCAUUUCAACACCAAACUUAAUGAAAUUUGAACCAUUUUGAAGAUCUCACCAAGACGAAUCAAACCGUACUUGAGUUGAGCCUUGAACUUGCCGGAAACUCGCCGGAAAAAGCCUCGAUAAUCCGGCCAAACUUAAAACUCAUCGUUCUCGCUAUUCCGACGUCCAAAAUCAUCCAAUGAACCACUCCUAGACUCGUGAAGACCUCCUUAAGCUACCUAUAAGCUUGAAAUCCACAAAAACAUGAGAUUUUACGUUUGCAUGAAUAAUACCUCAAAUCGGAGGUUAUGGUUUCUCGGGUUUUUCACGGUUUCAAGUCCUAAAAAUGACAUAUAUGAACUCAGGGACAAGCAAGGAGUUCAAAUCUUACCUUCUUAACGUCAAUCCAUGCUUGAAGUGCGAGUAUGGUGUUCGUCCGUACGUGAGGGAAGGAGAGAGAGAGGGUCCAAGAGAGAGAGAGCACGGGAGAGAAGAGAGAGAAGGAAUUUGUGUGUGUGUGUGUGGUCCACGUGGUCACCAACCAAAACCACAAAACCAAAUUCCAAUUUUUGUUCCAAAGAUUAGGGAAAUACAAGUUUGGACCAAUACUUACAUAUAUAAUACACCACAACGCUCAUAUCCGAGGGUAAAAUAGUCAAUUCAUGUCCUCGAUAAUUUAUUUCGGGACGGGCUGUGACACUUUGAUUAAAACCUUGUUGGUUUUUAAUUUUUUAUCAAGGACCCUGAAAUUAAUAUGAUAAUUUAUUUCUACGUACGUUACUAUAUUUUUUAAAUUAAAAAUUAGAAAUUUUAGUUGUUUAUAUAAAUGAGAUUUCAAAUAAAAAACCAUAAUUUGUGGGAUUAAAAAUAUUAAAAUAUAAAUAUACUAUUGUGUGUGUAUAUAUAUAAACAUGGGUACAUUCAUCAAAAUUAACCAAAAAAAUUAUUGUAUCAAAACAUGGGUACAUUCUUCAAAAUCACAAAAAAAAAAAGAUAUUAGGCUUAAUAACAUUAAUAAAUUUCUUCGAUUAAACUUGACAUGGAUACAUUUUAAAAUCAAAGAAAAAAGAAUUAAUGUACCCAUAUAAGUUUAAAAAUGAAUUAGAAAAAAAUUGAAUAGAUUUUAUAUAAAAAGGGGUACAUUUUACAUAUAACAAAUUGAAAUAUUUAAGAAUGAGUACAUUUUAAGAUUAAAAAGUUUUACAUGAACGGGUACAUAUAAUUAGCAUGGGUACAUUUAGCAAAAAAAAAAGUACAAAUAUAAAAAAAAUAUGGGUACAAAUACAAAUAAACUUUAAAAACUAUGGGCACAAAAAGAAAUUAAUAUAUGGGUACAAAUUAAAACUGAAAAGAAAAUUGGUACAAAUUAAAAAAGAAUUACAAAUAAAAAAUGGGUACAAACUAAAACUAAAAAUAUAUGAUAAAAAAAUUUAGUCAUAAAUAUAAAUAUACUAAUUGUAAUAUUUUUAACAUUAAAUGAAUAUAUUUAGAAAUAAAAAAAAUAUUUUAUUAUUGAAAUAAUUAAUGAUGUUAGUAAUACCUAAGGACUUUGAUCAAAAAUUGAAAAAUGAAGGAUGAGAACCUAAUUUUUCCGUAAUUUUACAUCAAUCGAGGAAGAUUUCCUAAAACGAAAAAUCGAAUUAGAUGGAACAGCCACACACAAAUCAUCAAAAAAAAAAAAAAGAAGAAAAGAUUUGAAAGAAAAAACAUUCAGAGACCUUAAUCAGAAGGGGUUUGCAAGGUUGUACACAAAAACCCUCAAAUUCGCACACCAAUUUUCCUAAAAAAAAAAAAACCCAAUCAGAUUAAACAACCGUCCAAAUUCCAACCUUUUUCUUCAUCUAAAUCUUCAUCUGAUGGUUGCAGGCUGUCAAAUUGCAAAUCAGAAUGCUUUGAUGGUUCACAGUGAGAAAUAGUCUGUGUUGGAAGCUCUACUGACAGUUUUUGCAUCUUCCUUGGAUGAGAAGAGAGACCCACACGGAGAGAGAGGUAGAGGUGGUGUAUUUGAUUGUGGGCACAGGCAGAGAGGAAAUGGUAUAAAAAAAUUAGAGGGAUAAUUAGGAUGUCUCUUCCAUGUGGGUACCUUUUUACUUUUGAGAUUUUUGAGAGAGAGUGGAAUGAGAGGGACUCCCUUCCAUCCCAGAUGAUCAACACGCGUACCUUUAACCUCUUUUCCUUCCUAGAUGAUCCACACGUGUACAUCCAGAUCUUUCCCUUCCUAGGGAGACAAAAAUGAAGCAGAAGAGUGAGAGUCGAGAAGAGGCAAAAUCAAAAUUAUAUAAAAAAUUUAGAGAGAUGUCUGUUGUGGCAGAAACGAAGUAAACAAAACCAAGAAGGGACAAAAUUGGAAGAGUCUAGUUUCUGAAGCCUCCUUCAGGCAGAAGUGGAAUGAAAGAAAGAAGCAAGGGUAAAAGUGCAAGUACAAUGUACAAUAAACAGUGUCCACAGAAACAAAAUAAGGGUAAAAAGGGAAACACACUGGCGAAGGAACAGUGAAAAUGACACAAACGAAAUUAACUGAAAAGUUACUCAUUUAGUGUGUGUGUACAUAUAUAUAUAUAUAUAUAUAUAUAUAUAUAUAUAUAUAUAUAUAUAUAUAUAUAUAUAUAUAUAUAUAUAUAUAUAUAUAUAUAUAUAUAUAUAAUUUUGAGAUUCAUUAAUAGGAUUUUUGUGGCUAAGACUCUUUAGCUAAAUUCGUAACUAUUUGGUGUUUGGAGUCCAAUGGAUUGGUAUCUAUAUCUUACAAAAAUGUUGGCCAAGACAUAUGUUAGCUUUCAUUCUGUUUUUUUUUUUCAUUUUCAUUUCUUAUAUCUAGCUUUUGCUUUUGAUGCAUAGUUUGAAAGCUUCUGGAUCAUAAUAUGAAUUUCGGUGUGUGAGUGUGUGCAAUGUGUGUGCAGUCAGUGUUUGUGCAUUUCCAAUUCUCAAGUGUGAUGAUAUUGCCUAAACAUGUAGAUUUUACACUGCUUUUGUGCCAUGCAGUACCGACAUUCUAUGUGGCCUCUUAGCUAAUGAUACUAUCACAUUAUAUGAACAUUAAUUAGUCAACUUUCAGACAUUGCUCCAAACUCUUUCUUCAUUUAUUGAUGCUCCUACAGUUCCUAAUCUUCCACCUCACGUGUUUGGCUGUGUGGCCUUCGUUCAUCUUCAUAAACAACAAAGAAGUAAGCUUGAACCUCGGCCUUACGGUGUGUGUUUGUGGGGUAUGCCUCAAAUCAAAAGGGGUAUCGUUGUUAUCACCCUCCAAUGAAAAAAUUGUUUGUCAUUAUGGAUGUUAUCUUUCAUGAGAAUGACAUACACUUUUCCAAUCUCGAGUCUUCACUUCAGGGGGAGAAUCAGAUAAAAGUUCAAACUCUUGAUUAUACCAUUCCAAAUAUAGAUAGUGUGAAUGAUUUGGAUUUAAGUGGUGAUGUCUUGGAAAUAAGUGGUGAUCAUUCACACGAAAAUAAUGAUGUCUGUGAAACCCGUCCCAAACUAUGUAAUUUUAUAUUCACGAAUUUAUAAAAUUACCAGCUUGCCUUCUAUCAUUUACCCAAUCCAUUCCUUUUUGGAUUUUCUCCAAAUUCUUCCCUUUUCUCUAGCUGCCACGUGGCAGCUCCCCCACACCCAUCUUUUUCUCUCUUCUCUCCCUUGAGCUCUCUCUCAGCUCACUCUCUCUCUAGCACAAACUCUCUAUCCCUCUCCCUGAUUUACAUACACGCCUAUAUACGCCCAAAAACGAAGAAAUCGACAGCGACGACGACACCACAAACCACUAAGUGAGUCUCUCUCUCUUCCCUUCCUCUAUGAAGCCCAAGAAACCCAGAAAGUUCCUCCAGUGAGCCCUGUGGCUUUCUAGCCAAAAUCUGGCUGACUCAGGCCACCUCACGACGUGUAUUUGGUAUGAAACUCUUCCUCUCAUCUUGCACUUCAUUUUGGUACUUAGAUCGUACCCUAAGGUUGAGUACCGGAGUUAAACAAAGCUUAGGAAGCUUCAACCUUCUUUUCUGUCGAAACCUAGUCAAACGACCCAAACCCGAAAGCCCAAAAUCCCUUGAACCUAGAUUUCUUUUGGGCCGGGCUACUAGCCCAAAACCCUAAGGCCCAGCCCAAAACCCCAAUUAAACCUUUAGAACCCAAACCCAAAAGCCCUUUGAACCCAAACCAUUGGGCUUGCGGCUCAUUGAAACCAAGCCCAAAUCCCUUUCAUAGCCCAGCCCAAAACCCAAGUGACCCCAGGCCUUUGGGUUAUGCAAGCUUGGGCCUUCGGCCCAAGGAAUCCAAGCAUAGAAACCCUUUAGGCCUAAGCCUAAACCCGGUCCAACCCAGAACCCUGGCCGCGCGUGGGCCUGCGCAUGGGCCCACGUGAGGCCAAGCCAGUGCCAACACGUGGAGCACACAAUCUGCCGUCCAUGAUGACACCGGUGACUUUUUCAGCCAAUUUUCUGGCGAUCUAUGGCAGCACGUGGGGGUACCCUAGGUCUCCCUUUACGUGUUUCGACAUCUUGAAUCCGUUUAUAAUGUUCUUUUUUCGAAAUUCAAUCAUUAUGAUUGAGUUUUAUAAAUUGGACCCUUUAUGUGCUUAGGUGUGUUUAUUAGCGGCAUUUCCAUCAUUCCUAUUUCGCACGGCUCUUCAAAGACGAAGUAUCUGUAAGUGAACCCCUUCUAAAAUGCAUGUUUUAAUAGUAAAAAUGCAUACAUGAAAAUCAUGAUUUAAUGGUUACAUUUUAUGAAACGUGUUAUGAGUAAAUUAGAUUUAUACUUUAUGAUUAUCAUGCUUUACUGAGAAUAUUUUGGAAUACCAUACUUUAUCAAAUUUAUGUUCUCUAUAGUAUAUAUGAUGGAUGACUAUAUACUAUGAAGAUGCUUUGAUAUAUAUAUGUACUUAUGUUGGAAAGACUAUAUUCAAUGGUUUUGUGCUUAUCUAGUGGUCAUUGUUCUGCCUAUGGGUGAUGAUACAUACAUAUAUUGGCUUCGGUUGGGUGAUGUAGUGGUCUAUGGGACAGAAGAUAUUUAUUUGGCCUACGGGUCAUAAGAUAUUCAUAUAUUUUGGCCUACGGGUCAGGUGAUGUAGUGGCUUUGGUCGAUUAUGAUACCACUAUUUAGCACAUUAUAUACGAUAUACGUUUUAUGAAACGUUUUAUGGCAUGCUAGGGUUUUCGGAAAAACCUAAUACAUAUUAUACUAUUGAGUUUUCAUGAAACUUUAGGGGUUAGUACGUUGAUGAAUAAUUGUUUCAAUUAUAUAUAUAUCAACUUGGUCCACUUAUAUUUGUUUUGCAUCCCCUCAAGACAUAAGAACGAGGCAUAUGAUCCGAGCUACGAGGCAUUCCCCAACUAGUGACAUCGUGUGAUCCUCUCUGUUUUGACAUCAUUGUAAUAGCACAUUUCGCUUGUAUUCUGAAUUAGAUGUAUGCUCUGAACAUGUCAUGCAUUAUCACUAUCAUUUUAUUAAAGUUUGAAUAUUAUUAUAUUAUUCUCUGCAUGUGCAUUCAUUAAAUGGCUUGUAUCACCCUCGGGUGUUGGUCAGCAUGUGGUCAUCCCGAUGUCCCUCGAACAUCGGGAACAUACCUUAUCAAUGUGAAUGACUUGGAACUAAGUGGUAAUUUCUUGGAGACAAAUGGUGAUCAUUCACAUGGAAACAAUGUUGAAAACUUUGAAAGGGACGACUCGACAUUGCCAGAUAACUCACUACCUGAUAGCUCACAAUCAGUUUCCUCACCACCGGACAGUCAUGUGUCACCAGCUACCUCACAGUCGAUCUUGAGUCCCAAUAACCAUAAUCAAUCAUUUUCGAUCCCUGAUGCACCACCACCAUGUCGUCUCCCUGAUCGCGUCAACCGAGGUGUUCCUAAACUUACUUAUGAAGCCGACCCUAAAUGCAAAACUAGGUAUCCGAUGAGUAAGCCUAACCAUGAGUCUAAUGUGUUAUACCCGUCAAGUAAUUAUAUGUCUAUCAGUCACCUGUCAGAAUCAAAUAAGUCAUUUGUGCAUCAAUUAUCUAUUGUAUCUAUUCCUAACAAUGUGCAAGAGGCUUUAACUGAUCCACGUUAGAAAGCAUCAAUGAAUGAAGAGUUGAAGUAUUUGAAGAAGAAUGCUACAUGGGAGAUCAUAGACUUGCCAGCUGGCAAGAAACCUGUGGGAUGCAAAUGGGUUUAUACGAUGAAGUACAAAGCUGAUGGGAUGGUGGAUCGCUUCAAGGCAAGACUAGUAGCAAAAGGAUGCACUAAAAAAAAUAUGGAAUUGACUAGACAAAUACAUUUGCCCCUAUGACCAAGAUCAAUACAGUUCGUGUUUUGUUGUCCUUGGUUGCAAAUCUUAAUUGGCUGUUACAGUAGUUCGAUGUGAAGAAUGCCUUCUUGCAUAGGGAUUUGACAUAAGAGAUUUACAUGGAACUCCCACCAGGGAGUAACGUUCCAGAUAUGCAUAGACAAAAGGUGUGCAAGCUUCGAAAAUCAUUGUAUGGGUUAAAGUACUCCCUAAGAGCAUGGUUCGAUAGAUUUACCAAGUCUAUGAGAGCAUUUGGAUAUAAGCAAAGUAACUGUGAUCACACACUAUUCUUGAAAUGUUGGAAUGGAAAGCUUACAACACUCAUUGUAUAUGUGGAUGACAUGGUAGUUACCGGUAAUGAUCUGGAUGAGAGUGUAGCCUUGAAGAAAUAUUUGAGUACAAAAUUUGAGAUGAAGGAUCUUGGGUAUCUGAAAUAUUUUCUUGAGAUUGAGGUAUCAAGUAGCAAGUCAUGAAUCUUCCUGUCACAGAUAAAGUAUAUUCUUGACUUGUUAUAAGAAACUGGCAUGUCAGCAUGCAAACCCGUGACUACUCCGUUGGCAAAAGGAAUGAAGCUAAGCAUUGAUCUAAACCAAGUACUGGUAGAUAAAGGAAGGUAUCAACGGUUAGUGGGAAGAUUAAUGUAUUUGGCAUAUAUAUACUAGACCAGACCUUGCUCAUGCCUUGAGUGUCGUUAGUCAAUACAUGCAUGAUCCAGGAGAACAACACAUGAACGCAUUUUUAAGAAUAUUGAGUUAUUUGAAAGGAAGUCCGGGGAAAAGGAUUUUAUUUAAGAAGAAUGGUUAUUUUAGUAUUGAAGGUUAUACGGAUGCUGACUACUCGCUCAAUUUUGCCACGGGAAAGUCGGCAUCUGAUCUUGGAGGAGGAGGACAACUUUAUGAUCCAUUCUCGCCCAAUUCCGCAAGUCAUUAGCAGGGAGGUAAUUCGGGAAAGAUGUGGAAGCAAGAGAAUGAUCUAUUUACUACUAUUAUUAUUUCUUAUACAAGCAACAAUGCGGAAGGGGUAUUCGACGAUAAAACCUGAGGUACAAGAGUAAAAACAUUCUUUUACCCACUUGAACAAUAAGCCCCUUGCCUUUCCAUUUCCUUGUUAAUUGCCUAAUUCUCGACACAUUAAAUUAAAUGCACUACUCGCUUACAAGUCGCAAAUUGCUAAAAUAAAAUAAACUGGGAUAGGAAAACGGUGAACAUCCAUCAUAGGGAGGAAUUACAAAAGUUCAGGUUUAAGUGGCCUCGUUAAAAUCUUGAUCGGAGAAAACCCAGUGGGAAAAACUCCAAACUUAGAAAAGAGUACCACAGUUAUAUUACAAAUCUGGAGAGCUCAUACACUAGAGUUGUGAGCAGCACGGGAGAAGAAACCUUGGCCUAGAAAUAGGCAUGGUUGUCUUUAGAGAAUCGCUCUCAAUGCAAACACAAAACCAGCCCUACAGUAGUUUGUCAGCCAAAUCUCAAAUGAAUGCCUCUUAAAACAGUCACUCCUGAAACCCCAAAAUCUUGAGGACACAAAUAAAAAAAAAACUUAAAACAUUUUACCAACUUGAGGAAUAUUGUGGAUUACUUUAAUUACGAGAAUAAAGACGAUUAACAAUACUAUUGAGAAGAUGAUACCUGGACCUGGAGACUGGGAUCGAAUCGACUAUCAGCUUCACAUCAUCUUAAAAUCUCUCUAUGCUAUGUAAGGGAUGUGGGAUACUUUGUGCCAGUAGCGUCCUUUUCCUCGUUCGCGUCUCUCUUUUAGCACAGGACACCCAGAGAUAAGAAGUUGUGUAAGUGAAGGAGGAAGACCCUCAUCUGGAAUGGAUGCUAGCUGUGGACAACUGGAGAGAUGCAGAGAUUCAAGAAACGUUAGGGAUUGAAAGCCCUUGCUACUCAGUUUCUUCAGAUUCGGGAAACCACAAAUUAAUAGUCCAGUAAGAGAUUUGGGGAGGAGCGGCUCCUUCUGGACCACGUCGGGUGGAAACGAAACCGUAUCCGGGUCAUUACCGUAGAUCCAUAAUUUUCUAAGAGAGGUGAGUCUGUGCAAUCCCCACUCUAACUCCCAUAAUGACUUACAGCUUUUGACCUUCCAAAUUGUAAGUGAUGUGAGGUUGGAGGGAAAGAAGCAACUCAAACCUUCACGGUAGUUGAUGGUCAAUUCCUCAAGAGAGUUGAGAUUGUGCAUGGCUUCGGGUAACACCUCCAAUUUGUCGCAAUCGGUUAUCUUGAUCUCUCUCAGGUUGAAGGCUCUUCUCCCCCCACUCAGUCCGGGGAUAGAAACAAGACUUCCCCAGUAAUAAAUAUCCAACGUUUGAAGAUUGAUGAGGUGGCAUAAGCCAUCCGGUAAGUAUUUCAGAUUUUGGCACUUCCAGAUCCUUAUAUAUUCAAGACACUGAUUAGUGUUGUAGUGGGAGAACCCGUCCUGUACAAUUAACUCCAGCUGUAAACAAUCGUAUAUCUCAAGGUGUUUAAGUGUCCUAAGAAGCUGGCCGCUCAAUGAUAACAACGUCAGAGAUUGACAUUCCUGGAUUUUCAAGUAUUCAAGACAAAUGUGAGAAGACAACAGAGAAGAACCAACAACCUCCUCAUCUACUAGUGAUUUCAAACUUUUACAGUCACUUAUCUGUAUUCUUCCGAGAUUUUGGGGAAUCUGAAAUUUUGCCAAAUAUAUCAUCGAAUGGCACUCUGUAAUCUUGAUGUCUUUAAGAGAAGGUGGCAGACCAACAUCCUCAAAAGAAACUAGACGUAGACAUUUGUGUAUGCAAAGCUGUUGAAGAGACAACAACUGAUUUAACCCUUUUGGUAGCUUUAAAAUAUUUUUGCACUUCUUUGGCUCCAGUCCUUCAAGCUUGCACUCCAAUAUUUGCAAUUGCAGCAACUCAUCUGCUUCUUUUCCCAAUUCUUCAACUAGAGGAGAGUUGUCUUCAAUUUCCAAACGGCCAAGAGAAGUCAACUGCUGCAAUAAUCUACCGUCAUUCUACAAUGAAGACAUCUGCUCCUCACAUCCAUUAAUCUUCAAAUCUCUAAACUUGCUUAAUCCCUUCUGGAACAAUUCCCCUGUUUGCAGACACAUCAGCUCUGAAAUGUUUGAAAGGCACAAGGACUCUAACAACUCAAACUCAACCUUAGCAGCUGUAUGCACCAACACUUUACAACAGUCAAUGUUUAACUGACGAAGUUGUUUGUAGUUGGCAAUUGAAACCACUAAUUCUUCACAUUUAACAAUUCCAAGCUUUGCUAAAGAAUUGAGGUUCUCUGGCAACUUACCCCCCAGUUUUGAACAUUUUUUUACAAAGAGCGUUUUCAGGCAAGGGAAAACACCAUUUCCAUGAUCCAAUUGGAAAGGAAGCCAUUCCUUCCAAUGCUGCAUAUCCACAAACUCAAGAGUCUCUAAUAGCGGAAAAGGCGAGAUGCACUCUCCAUAAAACUCAGCACCAACACUUUCCACUGCAUUCAUUCCUCUAAUAUAAAGUUCUUUGAGAUGAGGCAAUUGUCCAAGAGGUGGCAACGAUAAACAAUUGUUACACUCCUCUAACCGCACAAGCACCACAUUAGAGAACAAAAAAACUGCAACCCAUGAUGAAAAUUCCUUUCCGGCAUAACUCUUGAUGGUGAGCUCCUUGAGCUUUGUAUGAGGCUGUAACAUGUCAAGCACAGCAGAUUCCAUUUCUCUUGUGUCGCUUGAAUGAGACCAUUCUAGGACCAACGAAUCAAGCCUCUCCUUGUAUUUUAAGUUGGCCCUCCGAGCAUCCUCGACAUCAAUCACAUUCCCCUAUCUUGAUAUGCACAAUGUCCCGCGGAGAUGCAAUAGGAACUCUUUCUCUCUUAUCCUUGAUUGAUCACUACCACCACUGACCACAAAAUUAGACAAUGAUUGGAGAUUCACCAAUCUACCCAGUUGUGGAGGCAUUCCUCCCAACGAAUAUGCAUCCGAGUUGUUUAGAUGGCGCAAAUUAAUUAGAUUACUCAUGUUCGCAGGCAAUGACUUCAAUUUAGAACAACCUUCCAAUAUCAAUGUUUGCAAGCUGUAAAGAGUGCUUGUUGAUUCAGGCAAACUGGUUAUAUCUAUGUAGGAAAGGUCAAGAUACUGCAACAACCUCAAAUUACCGAUUGAGUUUGGCAGCUCAGUUAUUUUGUAGCCAUUCAAAGAGAGCACUCGUAAGUAUUGCAACUGUGGUAGUAACUCAAAAAUAACCUUAUGAGACAAAUAUUUACUCCACUACCUGGAAUCUGAAAGUGAAAGUGGCAGGAAUGUUCGCAAACGUUCAACUUUAGAAAAGUCCUCAAAUCUCGUAACUCCAUCAAAUUGACCAGCAAUGAAAGAUGAAUGGCGAGCCCUUCGAAAGCAGGUGCGUUGCAAGUUAUCACCUUGCUUAUCUUCCAACCUAGAACAUAUUUCUCCUGCUGCCCAUUAUGCUAAAUCAUUAACGAGGUCAUGCAUUACAAAUCGUGAAUUGUUUUUGCUUGAUUCUUGAAACAACGACCUUGAUAAUAGCUCUUGAAAGUAGUCACGGCCCAAAUCCUCCAUUUGUUUAUUGUCUUCAGGUUUUUGUUGAAUCAAACCCUCUGCCAUCCACAAAAGGACGAGUUGCUUCUCCCUAAAUUCAUAGUCGUUUGGAAGUAUUGAGCAAUAGGCAAAACACCUCUUCAAAUUUUUUGGAAGAUAGUGAUAGCUCAACUUUAGUACGGGGAGAAUGUCACUCUUAUCUGCUAUAUUCCACAAUUUGUUGUUUAAUAUUUCUUCCCACUCAUCCUUUUCUUUGCAACGUAAAAGGCCACCGAGAGUCCUUGCAGCAAAUGGUAAUCCACGACAUUUUUCGACAAUUUUUCUUCGAAUUAACUCAUAAUUUACUGGUUUUCCAUCGUUAAGUUCCCCGAAUGCAUGUCGCUCAAAUAUUUCCAAACAAUCAUCAUCUCUCAUGCACUUCAAAUUAUGGACUCCAGCGGCUCCCAUAAACUUUGCAACAUUCACAUCACGGGUUGUCACAAGUAUCUUACUUCCUCCAGCUCCGACGCCAAAAGGGGAUUGAAGUCUUGUCCAGAGAUCGUAUAGAUCAUAGUCACCUUUGUUCCAAAUAUCAUCUAAAAUGAUGGGCAUACAUUAUAGUUAUGGUGAUCAGCAAAAAUACUCCAUUUGAUUUUAGGUGUAAUUAGCUUUUAAUUUUGAAUGUAGUUAAGUCUACUUAAGUGAAUUCUUGACUAUAUUUGAAUUGUUUUAUAAAAACUAAUAUUUAUACAUUUGUGUGCUAAAUUUUGACUAUAAUAAAAUCGCUCCACCCACUACCACUAGAGAGAGGGAGGGGUGCCGCCUACCCACCAAACCCAAAAGUAAGGGGUGGUGUCCUUUGGGAUUUCUAAAGGAACAUUAGGUAGGUAUGCUUUGCACCACAAAAAUGUGCAAAUCAAUUUGAUUUUGGGUUCCUAGUAAUAUCCUUUCUUUUCUUAAUUUUAAACAAGAAAGAAUUGCCUCCGCUUUCUCUUUGCACGACAUCUAUUCUUCCUUAAUGGACUGAUUUUACAGUGUUAAUGCCAAUAUUUACACGAUAAAACAUACAUGUUAACGACCAUUAUGAUCGACAUCUUAUUUACAUCAGAUCAACACCCUGUUAUUUAAUAAAGAAGAAAUGUCUUGUUUAGAGAAUAACUGCCUCAUCAAGAUAUUACCAAACCAUGACAGUAAAAAUAACAUAAUAAAACUACAAGACAUUUUUCUUUAGGGUCGUAAAAACUUGAUUUCCAAACUAAUUUACAAUAAGGAGCCACAAGCAACAUGGGUUUUCAAAAAUGCUGUUGGUGCAUUAUUCAGAGAUGUGAUAUGAUAAUUCAAAGACUGCCUGCUGUCUGCAGUCUAACACUGAAAUGGUAACUGGUCUUAAUAUGCACUGCACAUUCUAUAAAAGUAUAUUACACGAAACAAAGGUCAUGGACCGCGAGGUGUGCUGAAACAGAAACAGCCGGUAGACUGGUCUUCAGGUAUCAUGCCGCCUCGCUUGCUAGUAUCUAUUGCAUACAACAUUUUCACUACCUCUUCCAUUUCAGGGCGAUUAUCCGGGUUUGCAUCCCAACAUUUUCGCAUGAUGCUAGCCAAUGUGCUUGGACAACAUCUUGGGAUUUCUGGUCGUAAAUUCUG